GCCAGCGUGGUGUAAUGGUUUGCGUAUUGGACUAUGAUUCUAGAGAUCCGGGCUCAAAUCCUUGCUUGGUCA
Molecule: non-coding RNA, 72 nt
Organism: Phrynosoma platyrhinos (Desert horned lizard)
Lineage: Eukaryota; Metazoa; Chordata; Lepidosauria; Squamata; Phrynosomatidae
Source: the annotation of a GenBank genome assembly